Molecule: transfer RNA, 75 nt
Filed under: Corynebacterium variabile
Lineage: Bacteria; Bacillati; Actinomycetota; Actinomycetes; Mycobacteriales; Corynebacteriaceae
Also listed under: 1 other name
Description: tRNA-Pro(tgg)
Rfam family: tRNA
About the family: Transfer RNA (tRNA) molecules are approximately 80 nucleotides in length.
Source: RNAcentral
CGGGAUAUGGCGCAGCUUGGUAGCGCACUCGCUUUGGGAGCGAGGGGUCGUGGGUUCAAAUCCCGCUAUCCCGAC